This 1320-nucleotide unclassified non-coding RNA is filed under the name Hevea brasiliensis (rubber tree). The record is from RNAcentral. Lineage: Eukaryota; Viridiplantae; Streptophyta; Magnoliopsida; Malpighiales; Euphorbiaceae.
CUGCAAUUUGAACAUAGAAAGGAAUUCUAAUCAGGAACAUGGUAAUUAAGUUCAGCUUGGUAGUUUAAAUGAGUGCAGGAUGCAUACUUUUGGUGAAUUUCUCACUAUGAAUUCACUUGCUUUUGUAUCCUUCAAAAUGCCCAUCAUGUUCAACUGAUCUGAACCCACUUCAAUCUCUUGUUGCAAGCUUUGGAUUCUCUCCAGUAGCUCCUUCACGUAAUCUAUUGUGUCUCCCAGUAUUGAUGUUCUGUCCAUCUUGCUUAUCUUAGGAACAAUUGAUCUUAGCAUCGAAAGCCGAUCAUUUAACCUCUUUCUUCUUCUUCUCUCCGCCAUUAGGUUCUUUGAUGGCUGCCCCUCCAACUUCUUACCUCUCAUCUUUCUUUCUGGGCAAGAACCAAUAUUGAACACUGGUAUUUGUGGAGACUGAAUUCGCUCAACUUUGCAAGUAUCCUGCAUAUCCAAACUGUGGACAUGAUUCGGAAGCAGACCCAGGUCCUGGUCAUCCUCCAUUGUGGUAGAAAUUGGAGUAUCUUCUUGAACAGGAAACGGCAGCGUGUCAAGAGUGUUAUACGAAGAAUCAGUAAACUGUGGAGCUGAGAACUCAUCUGUGAAUGAAGGAGUCGAGAAUUCAUCGCCAAAAGGGCAGGAAACUUCAUUAAAGUAGUAAUUGUUGAAGUCUUGAUCAAGAGGAGAAGAGAAUUCUUCAUGGAAAGUAUUGGGAGGGAGUGUGGCUGCAAGAUUAUCAUCAAAGCAAUCAAAGUUUAACCCACUAGAGAAAAGCUCACUCAUUUCUGAAGGAAAACUUGGCAUAGUUUCCCAAGUGUCUCUUCUGAAAGCUAGCAGCUCCUCCAAGAAGCCCUGUUGAUUAAGCUCCAUUUUUCUCACUUUUUCUAACCCUCACUUUUUCUCUUGGGAAACGAUAAUACCUUGAUAAUUAGAAGCUGCACAAAGUUGGGAAUAUAUAGGUACACACGUAAAAGGGUUUCUACUUGAAUAUAUAAAUAUGGAUUAUGGUAUGCAUUAUGUUGUAUUUAUUAGCAUUUUAGAGCCUAAGAUUGAAAUGGAAUCUGCUUCAUUUUCUUUUCCUUUUCUUCUCUCUCUUUUUAUUUUCUCAUGUCUUUUUCACCGAAAUCUCUGCAAUCAAACAAACUGAAUAUAAAAUUUCUAUUUCCCUGAAAACUUUGACCCUCCACAUCUGUCCGAACCGAAAAGGAUGAAGUUGGCAUCACAGACGACCCUGACAGGUUCUUUGUAUGGUUAAGCAUUGUAAUAUUAUUUCCAUAUGAACAGAAAUGAUAAAACACAAACACAAACGCAAAG